RNAcentral lists this ribosomal RNA (392 nucleotides) under uncultured bacterium. Its description in RNAcentral is "bacterial SSU rRNA". It matches the Rfam family "Bacterial small subunit ribosomal RNA", at positions 28 to 414 of the family's 1533-position model. The record is from RNAcentral.
GACGAACGCUGGCGGCGUGCUUAACACAUGCAAGUCGAGCGGUAAGGCCCUUUCGGGGGUACGACGAGCGGCGAACGGGUGAGUAACACGUGGGUGACCUGCCCUCCAGCUCUGGGAGUAAGACCCGGGAAACCGUAGGGUCUAAUAACCGGAUAUGACUUCAUGACGCAUGUUGUGGAGUGGAAAGCCUUGUGCGGCUGAGGAUGGGCCCGCGGCCUAUCAGCUUGUUGGUGGGGUGAGGCCUACCAAGGCGACGACGGGUAGCCGGCCUGAGAGGGCGACCGGCCACACUGGGACUGAGAUACGGCCCAGACUCCUACGGGAGGCAGCAGUGGGGAAUCUUGCGCAAUGGGCGAAAGCCUGACGCAGCGACGCCGCGUGAGGGAUGACGG